RNAcentral lists this ribosomal RNA (434 nucleotides) under uncultured bacterium. Its description in RNAcentral is "partial 16S ribosomal RNA". It matches the Rfam family "Bacterial small subunit ribosomal RNA", at positions 29 to 507 of the family's 1533-position model. The record is from RNAcentral.
AGCGAACGCUGGCGGCAGGCCUAACACAUGCAAGUCGAACGAACCUUUCGGGGUUAGUGGCGGACGGGUGAGUAACACGUGGGAACGUGCCUUUAGGUUCGGAAUAACUCAGGGAAACUUGUGCUAAUACCGAAUGUGCCCUUCUGGGGAAAGAUCUAUCGCCUUUAGAGCGGCCCGCGUCUGAUUAGCUAGUUGGUUGAGUUAAUGGCUCACCAAGGCGACGAUCAGUAGCUGGUCUGAGAGGAUGAUCAGCCACAUUGGGACUGAGACACGGCCCAAACUCCUACGGGAGGCAGCAGUGGGGAAUCUUGCGCAAUGGGCGAAAGCCUGACGCAGCCAUGACGCGUGAAUGAUGAAGGUCUUAGGAUUGUAAAAUUCUUUCACCGGGGAAGAUAAUGACGGUACCCGGAGAAGAAGCCCCGGCUAACUUCGUG